This 253-nucleotide ribosomal RNA is filed under the name uncultured bacterium. Its description in RNAcentral is "partial 16S ribosomal RNA". It matches the Rfam family "Bacterial small subunit ribosomal RNA", at positions 524 to 776 of the family's 1533-position model. The record is from RNAcentral.
GACGGAGGAUGCAAGUGUUAUCCGGAAUCACUGGGCGUAAAGCGUUUGUAGGUGGUUUCAAAAGUCCACUGUUAAAGAUUGAAGCUUAACUUCAAAAAUGCCGUGGAAACUUUGAAACUUGAGUAUGAUAGGGGUAGAGGGAAUUUCCAGUGGAGCGGUGAAAUGCGUAGAUAUUGGAAAGACCACCAAUGGCGAAGGCACUCUACUGGGCCAUUACUGACACUGAGAGACGAAAGCUAGGGGAGCAAAUGGG